AUAAAGGGAUCCAAACCCAGUUUUCCUUUGACCUUUUGGGAGCUCGCAGUGGCUUCAACGAUGGUGUUUGGGAUCGUUUUGGGGCUUGUAGGCGUUUAUUUAACCAUGCCCGCUUCUGAUUACAGCUUCCUCAAAUUACCCAGGAACCUUGAAGAUCUUCAGAUCCUGAGGUGCGUCCUUUUGGAUUCUGUCUCUAAUUCGUUGUUUUGAGAUUGCAUGCAGUCUACCUAGUCAAUUUUCAUGUCCAUAUUAUCUUUGAUUCUUAUAUGUUUUAUUUCCUCUGUAAUUUUAACAAGUUACGGGAUCGGUCUUGCUUGAAGUCAGCGGAGCUUGUUUUUGCUCUUGUUAUAAUGAAUUUGUGGCAAUAAUGAGCGGGUUUAUUUGGUGGAAAAGAAAGAUGUUGUCAUUUUGGACUAAUUGCGUACUUUGUCUGCUUAUCAAUACAAAUGAGAUCAUGUUUAAGAGUUGUUUAGAAAAUGAUCCCCAUUUUAUUCUCCAAAAAAAGAUAAGCCCUGAGAUCUAAAGAAGCUAGGAAGGUGAGGAUUGAUACACUAAUGACUGAAUUAUAUAGAAGGGCAUGGUUGAGACAUUGAAAAAGGAUUGUGCUUUGUUACAUUGGCAAGAAUUGUUCAAAAUAUAACAUUUGUUGUCGAGUCCUUAGUAACUAGGAAUGACCUAGAAUGGAAAUAUUUAUUAUAGUCUAAAAGAAUCAGAUUAGAUGUUGCUUUGAUUGCCCCUGAGAUGCCUGUGUACAGUAUGGAACUGUAAUUGGUGAUUCUGAUCAAGUUAGAUACAAAUUUUGCGGGGACAACUUGUAUGCCUCGUCUCCCCUUCUCUUUAGUUCUAGAAAAAGGUUUUAGAUGUUCCUUUUAGCAUAUAUUAUAUUUCCUGUUGGCGAAAAGUGCGUCUGUUUGAAGGAGACGGACAAUGAACUAGCAUGCAGUGAUCCGUUAUCAAAUAAGUUUCCUUAUCAUUCUUUGACUUGAUAAUAUCUGUGUUACAUCUAAUUCGAGCCUCCGAGGUGGCUUUCGCUUUCCUUUGCUUUAUAUUGAUUGUUUUCUGUAUGGUUUAUCAUGCAGAGAUAACCUUGAAUCCUACACAAGUGACUACACUGUACAAGUGUUGGUGGGGUAUUGUGCAGUCUAUAUUUUCAUGCAAACUUUCAUGAU
Molecule: long non-coding RNA, 1169 nt
Filed under: Gossypium barbadense (sea-island cotton)
Lineage: Eukaryota; Viridiplantae; Streptophyta; Magnoliopsida; Malvales; Malvaceae
Description: long non-coding RNA (GBAR_LNC018739)
Source: RNAcentral